AAAAAGAAGAAGAAGGCAGGAAGCUUCCGUGAGACUCCCUCCGUAAUGCUGGGUGAAGGGCGGAUGUGAAUUAGCUGAAGUGCCAAAAUACCUGCGGCACAACCGUCUCUCAGGGCAAGGCGGAUCCGCUUUCCUGACCCUGCAAAGGCUGCUGCUGGCCUCCAGCUUCGGGCAGAGAAGCAGAGAGAACCUUUGCUUCUCGCAUCUUCUGUUGGGGUUGGCCAGAGAGAUACCAAACCGCUUCAUUUCAGGGUCAGGUGGAACAGGUUGCCCUAAGUUCUACUGUGUAGCUGAGCCCUUCGGACUUCACUUCAAAAUACGGAUUGUUUUUCCUUUGAAGGUUGGUCUAGAAGGACGACAAGCACCUUAAAGCAUGUCAGCACCUCAUCUGAUCUAUUGUGUUGUCUGCUUCCACAGCCCUCCCACGUGCGAGCGCAGACACAGACGCAGUGUAGACGUAGUGCUGUGAGUAGACACCCUUGCACACAAACUAGUUGCUGACGGGGCGCAGACAAGAACAAGCAUGUCAGUGACAGCCUCAGUGACAGCCUCAUGAAGGACAAAACGUGCACUGCAGCUCACCAAAGAAAAAUCGCCAGCUGUUGGCUGCGGUGAUUCCGAUGGUGAAGCUGGCACAACCCUUCAGGUGUUGGGAUCAGGCAGGAAGACGCCGCAGAGGUUAGGUCAACCCUAAAGAAUGGUGGCUUUUUGCUGCUGAGUUCUUAUCCUUCUGUGUUAAAGAAGGAGGGGAGGAGAAAGGAGAAAGCCAAGACAGAGCAUUCUGCAGCAAGCGUCUGGUGCUCAGUGGCCGGGCAGGAAGGUGGCCGUGCUGGAAGGUGGAACAGAGCAAGGUGUUAAUGAGGUCUCACAGCUGUGUUAUGCAAACCAUCACUGUCAUGAUUCUCUCUUGGCUCACGCUGGAGCAGGUCCAGUGAAAUUGAUUUGCUUAUAGCAAGAGCAAAGGGGUGGGAAAAAUCUGGCAGUAGGAUCAGGCUUAGCACAAACAAGCUGGGUUUAAUGCAGUGUUUGUCUGCUGCUGUUGUGCUUUUAAUGCUAUAGACUGGGCCACUGUGGUAGCAGCAGUCAGUGUUUCCUGCAAGACCUGCAAAGCACUGCUUGUGUUUUCACACAUCCCUGUAGAUGAAAGUUGUGAGCAUGGUCCACAGGCAGCUUUUCACCAAUACUCAGUCUUCUUCACAAAAAGUACUCCAAGAUUUGGGAAGCGUUCGAGGGCCUCUGAGCCGGAAGAGUUCGGUUGUAUGUUUUUCAGAAGGCUUAACCUGCGACUACCUGCACGUGUUGGUGAGGUUUCCGAAACAAAUCUGAGCCCUAUAUCCAGCAAGCUGCUGCUUGGGAAGAGUCUCUGCUUUGAACUGAGAGCUGCUGAGCAGGUCCUGCCUCCCCCCACCGCCGCCUCACUGUGCCCGCGUGGGCUCCGGGACUGUGUUUGUGAGCUCGAGCUGUCCGCGUCCUGCCCGCUCCCCACAGCCCUGCCUGGGACAGCAGCUUCGGAGUCACCCAGCUCUUCAGCACUAGUCACCACCCCAUCUGAAUGUGUCUUUAAAAAAACCAACAACGAAGUUACCAACAGACGUGUUACCUGUGUGUAGGCUGUUGAAAGCACCUGUCUGUCUGUACCUGUUUUCUGCUGUAAAUAUCACUGAGAAAAGCUUCCUUUGGGGAAAGUGGUGUGGUCACACCUAGCUAAGAGUCCAAACGGCUAUUUUGUAACAAACCAACAGAAAUAGAUCAGAGGUAUUUUAUCUGUUCGAUUAUAAUAGAGUUUUAGAAAUUAUAUUGAGAUAUGUCACUUGUGCGCCAAUGUCUUCUUUGCCUCGGCCCCCUCCCACGUCCCCGGGCUCCGUUGGUGCGCGCAGGCGCACGGCUGACACACCAAGGCUGUGCUCCCAAGGGCUGCUGAGCAUCAUGGCUCCCUGCUGGCCUCGGGGACAGCCCUCUGUGGCCACUGCCGAGCUCUCAUCAGUUAGCUCCGUGCAUGGGGCCCCCGAAGGACCAGAUCCAGAGGAGACCAGGGAGAAAUAAUCUUGCCCAACGCGCAAUUCACCCGUGCGGUGAGGCGGAGAGGAAAGGGGGACAGCGAAAGGCUGAGCCCUCCAUACUGCAGCUCCUUCCCUUGCACCUUGCUGGCAUGCAGCAGGGCCGGCCUGAGCUUCUCUGCCCACACUGCACGCUGGGGAAGGAGCCCACGUGCCGUGCCAAGCGCGUGCCGCCGUGUGCGCACGCUGCGGCAAGGAGAGCAGCUUCGUGCGCCGCAUGUGCCAAUGCAUGUGUUGUACGCCAGCUGGCUGCAGAGAAACUCAUUCACCCAGAGACAUCAGCACACACUGCGCGUUAAUGCACACGCCAUCUGCCAACAUGUAAGACUAUAUGGCAGAUCAUGUGUAGGCACCUCUGCUACCCACGCGACUGAACACGCCGUACAAAACGUCAGGUGUGCGCAGCCACGCUCUGCCUGAGCAGGACAGCUGUGCGGGCUGCAGUUACCGUCACAGCACACUUUGUAAGUUACAUAGGCUCAGGCUCGACUAACAUUUGGAUGGGGGACGUGCAGGGAAAAUGACAUUUUCCAUGCAAAUCAGAUAGACAUGCAUAUUUACACAAAGCAUCACCCCGGGGUUAAUGAAACCAACCUCUGUGAAGCUGUGCGCAGGGAUGAGAGAUGAUCAGAGACAAACACGUGCACGCGAAGAAGCUCUCCUCUGCAGAGGGUGGGGGACAGCAGCCCACAUUUUUGCAGCUGGGGUCAGACUGCACCUGCUGAGGAAGCAGUCUGUGGGCUGCACAUUCUUUGCUGGCUUCAAAGAAUCCCUCAGACCCCCGGGCCUGCGGUGAAACACUUGGGAGGGCAGAAAUUCCUGAGACACGGAUAGGAAUUCCCAGGGAUUCAGAGGCUUCCAUUUCUGUUUUUGUGUGCCACAGAUGUAUUAUCUACCGGUCCACCCCAAACACGUCCAUUUCUAAGAUGUUUUGAAACAGGAAAUUAUCUGGAGAAGUUUCUGCCUGAUGUUUCGAUCACACACCUGGCUGUAAAGAUGAAAGCAAUAAAAACAG
Long non-coding RNA from Gallus gallus (chicken), 3072 nucleotides. The record is from Ensembl. NCBI's taxonomy places the organism in Eukaryota, Metazoa, Chordata, Aves, Galliformes, Phasianidae.